RNAcentral lists this long non-coding RNA (433 nucleotides) under Salvia miltiorrhiza (redroot sage). RNAcentral describes it as "long non-coding RNA (SMIL_LNC003096)". The record is from RNAcentral. Lineage: Eukaryota; Viridiplantae; Streptophyta; Magnoliopsida; Lamiales; Lamiaceae.
UAUAUAAAUAAUAUUUAAAAAAAUAAAUAAUAUUAAUUUCAAAAAAAAUAAUAGCUACUAACAAAUCUAGGAUUAUUUUAACAAAAAACCAUGAAUUAUUGGUAACAAAUCAAUAAUAAAUUUUUGAAACAAAUAAAUCAAACAAUUUUAGGAAUAAAUAAUCAUAUAAACCUCAAAUAUAUAAUUUACAUAAUUUUCAUAACUAAAAAAACCCGAAAAUAUGGAAAAAAAAAACCAAAAAUAGGAAACAAAAAAAGAAGAAAAAAAGGAAAUAAAAACAACCGAAAAAUAGGAAACAAAAAAAGCGAAAAAAAAGGAAACAAAAACAACCCAAAAUAUAGGAAGCAAAAACAAACCAACAAAUUGGAAACAAAAACAACGAAAAAUACAAAGGAUAAAUUAGUAAAUACAAACAUCACAAAAAACCGCCCCA